CUCCAAAGAUCUAUAGCUUGUGGAUGCGGCGGAUGUGGCACAGGGAGCAGAUGAAUUGGGAAUAAGAGGACCCCCGGCGCGCGCACAAAUUGUUUCUACCUGACGGCUGAUAGUGAGGAUGCCUCUGACCUGUCCCGAGAAGGUUCGAGCCGAAGUACGACUUGUACAACGCAUCACCAAUUCGUCCGACAGUGUAAAAUGCGUUUGUGUUAGCUGAGUGAAAAUUAGAGAUCAGCCUGGUGGUACUUUAUUAUUUUAUUCUAUAGCUUGAUCUGCCAAAUGCUAUUAAGGAAAUGAAGUUUCUUCCUCGAUCAAGUUAUCAAUCCUUAUUGGGUGUAUGCUUCCUACUCAACACCUGAAUAAUCAAUUUGUACAUGCUCAUAUAUAUUAAUAUGCUAUUUUGUUGGU
Long non-coding RNA from Triticum dicoccoides, 408 nucleotides. RefSeq lists it as uncharacterized. The record is from RefSeq and is a predicted model, not a curated record. NCBI's taxonomy places the organism in Eukaryota, Viridiplantae, Streptophyta, Magnoliopsida, Poales, Poaceae. The transcript has 2 exons.